UGGAAGUAAAAGUCGUAACAAGGUCUCCGUUGGUGAACCAGCGGAGGGAUCAUUAC
RNAcentral lists this ribosomal RNA (56 nucleotides) under Sarocladium strictum. RNAcentral describes it as "partial 18S ribosomal RNA". It matches the Rfam family "Eukaryotic small subunit ribosomal RNA", at positions 1777 to 1831 of the family's 1831-position model. Lineage: Eukaryota; Fungi; Ascomycota; Sordariomycetes; Hypocreales; Sarocladiaceae. The record is from RNAcentral. RNAcentral also lists the same sequence under 8 other names.